AAUAUUGCACAAUGGGUGAAAGCCUGAUGCAGCGACGCCGCGUGAGGGAUGACGGCCUUCGGGUUGUAAACCUCUUUCAGUAGGGAAGAAGCCUUUCGGGGUGACGGUACCUGCAGAAGAAGCGCCGGCUAACUACGUGCCAGCAGCCGCGGUAAUACGUAGGGGGCAAGCGUUGUCCGGAAUUAUUGGGCGUAAAGGGUGCGUAGGCGGCCUUUUAAGUCAGAUGUGAAAGCCCACGGCUCAACCGUGGGAUUGCAUUUGAAACUGGAAGGCUUGAGUAUCGGAGAGGGUAGUGGAAUUCCUAGUGUAGCGGUGAAAUGCGUAGAUAUUAGGAGGAACACCAGUGGCGAAGGCGGCUUACUGGACUGUAACUGACGUUGAGGCUCGAAAGCGUGGGGAGCAAACAG
RNAcentral lists this ribosomal RNA (407 nucleotides) under uncultured bacterium. RNAcentral describes it as "partial 16S ribosomal RNA". It matches the Rfam family "Bacterial small subunit ribosomal RNA", at positions 360 to 775 of the family's 1533-position model. The record is from RNAcentral.